RNAcentral lists this ribosomal RNA (189 nucleotides) under uncultured bacterium. RNAcentral's name for it is "partial 16S ribosomal RNA". It matches the Rfam family "Bacterial small subunit ribosomal RNA", at positions 338 to 524 of the family's 1533-position model. The record is from RNAcentral.
CCUACGGGAGGCAGCAGUAAGGAAUAUUGGUCAAUGGACGAAAGUCUGAACCAGCCAUGCCGCGUGAAGGAUGAAGGUCCUUUGGAUUGUAAACUUCUUUUAUCUGGGACGAAAAAAGGGAAUUCUUUCUCACUUGACGGUACCAGAAGAAUAAGCACCGGCUAACUCCGUGCCAGCAGCCGCGGUAAU